RNAcentral lists this ribosomal RNA (782 nucleotides) under uncultured archaeon. RNAcentral's name for it is "bacterial SSU rRNA". It matches the Rfam family "Archaeal small subunit ribosomal RNA", at positions 73 to 859 of the family's 1478-position model. The record is from RNAcentral.
GUAACCCGGCGGACGGCUCAGUAACACGUGGAUAACUUGCCCUUGGGUCUGGGAUAACUCNUGAGAAAUUGGGGACAAUACCGGAUAGGGCAUCGAUAGCUGGAAUGCGCGAUGUCCAAAAGCUGAGGCGCCCAAGGAUAGGUCUGCGGCCGAUUAGGUUGUUGUUGAUGUAAUGGAUCAACAAGCCUGCAAUCGGUACGGGUUGUGAGAGCAAGAGCCCGGAGAUGGGUUCUGAGAAAAGAACCCAGGUCCUACGGGACGCAUCAGGCGCGAAAACUUUACAAUGUGCGAAAGCACGAUAAGGGAACUCUGAGUGCCUCCUAUGGAGGCUGUUCAGGUGUCUAAAAAGCACUUGAAGUAAGGGCUGGGUAAGACCGGUGCCAGCCGCCGCGGUAACACCGGCAGCCCAAGUGGUAGCCACGAUUAUUGGGUCUAAAGCGUCCGUAGCCGGCCAGGUAAGUUCUUUGGGAAAUUUAACCGCUCAACGGUUAAGCUUUCAGGGAAUACUGCUUGGCUUGGGACCGGGAGAGGUCAGAGGUACUUCAAGGGUAGGGGUGAAAUCCGUUAAUCCUUGAGGGACCACCAGUAGCGAAGGCGUCUGACCAGACCGGGUCCGACGGUGAGGGACGAAGGCUAGGGUCGCGAACCGGAUUAGAUACCCGGGUAGUCCUAGCUGUAAACGAUGCGGGCCAGGUGUUGGCAUUACUGCGAGUGAUGUCAGUGCCGAAGGGAAGCCGUUAAGCCCGCCAUCUGGGGAGUACGGUCGCAAGGCUGAAACUUAA